Long non-coding RNA from Arabidopsis lyrata subsp. lyrata, 1111 nucleotides. RefSeq lists it as uncharacterized. NCBI's taxonomy places the organism in Eukaryota, Viridiplantae, Streptophyta, Magnoliopsida, Brassicales, Brassicaceae. The record is from RefSeq and is a predicted model, not a curated record. The transcript is spliced from 2 exons.
GGGGAAAUAAUUGUAUAGUUUUGAAUAAUUCAAAUUUUCAUAGCUUAAGUUAUUCAUUAUAAAAAAACAAAAAAACAAUUCAUCCGUGUUUUUUAUUUUUGUCCCAUGUCUCUCUCUUUCUCUUGCUCGUGUAUCGCAUAAGGCGAAAUCAGAGAACUCUCGCUCGAUCCGUUUGAUUUAAGAGGAGAAAUGCGAAAUCGUCUAACCUAAUCUCUUUUCAGACUCACAAAUUGUUCUAGAGAUGCUUAUGAAUCAAUGAAUAUAUCUAACCUACUGUUUUAUUUUGUAGUUGCGCCUCAAACGGCCAAGGCUCAGAGGCUCCAGCGCCUAGGCUCAAGGCUCAAACUAAGCCCCCCAGCGCCUUGCCUCGCCUUGCGCUAUUUAAAACACAGGUUGUUGCUGUUGUUGUUGAUUUGCUUUUGUUGAGUUAGAGAUUCAACUAAACCUCUGUUUUCUUAUUUGAAUUAGCUAAUGAUUUGCUACUUAUUAAUUAUUCUCUUUAUAUGGUAGAACUUAAGAACCAACUUCUGCUUCUACGAAUGCAUACAAAGAUGGAUUUUGUUUGAUAAGUCUUAUACUAUAAUGUGAUAACAGAACCGAUACAAGAAGAGUCAAUAAACUAUUUGUUUCAAAGAAUGUCUCAUGCACCUUGUUGAUCGUGUAGUAACCACAUUUUCUUUUCAAGCCACUUUCAAACAUAAUCUAAUGUUGUCAUUUCAUGUAUCUUCAAUCUAGUGUUGUCAUUUGAAAUGACACUAACUGUUCUCUCUCAAUGGACACUACUUCACAUGGACACUAACUGUUCUCUCUCAAUGUGGUGGACCAGUUUAUGAUGGCAAAUGGAAAGCUUGUUCGUGUCCUUAUUCAUACAGAUGUGACUAAGUACUUGUCUUUUAAAGCUGUUGAUGGAAGCUGUGUUUUUGUCAAAGGCAAGAAUGAGACGACCGACAAUCCAGAAUGAGACGACGAAGACGACGAACACGAGCGUAGACGACGACGAGACUCAAGAGUAGAUCGAUUAGUGUUUAAUCUUUAUAUUAGAAUGUAUUGUACAAUGAAUUUUAAUUUGUACGGAGUUUAAUUUUAAAUUUAAUUUUAAGUUUCUUUUGAA